RNAcentral lists this unclassified non-coding RNA (218 nucleotides) under plant metagenome. RNAcentral describes it as "partial contains small subunit ribosomal RNA, internal transcribed spacer 1, and 5.8S ribosomal RNA". The stretch from base 170 to 218 matches the Rfam family "5.8S ribosomal RNA", at positions 1 to 49 of the family's 154-position model. The record is from RNAcentral.
CCGUUGGUGAACCAGCGGAGGGAUCAUUAUCGAGUUUAUAACUCCCAAACCCUAUGUGAACUUACCACUUGUUGCUUCGGCGCGCGCUUCGGUGCCGCCGAGGACACUUAAACUCUUUGUUUUUAUAAGCAUUUCUGAGUGGCCGAAAGGCAAAAUACAAAUGAAUCAAAACUUUCAACAACGGAUCUCUUGGUUCUGGCAUCGAUGAGGAACGCAGC